Molecule: long non-coding RNA, 648 nt
Filed under: Brassica rapa (field mustard)
Lineage: Eukaryota; Viridiplantae; Streptophyta; Magnoliopsida; Brassicales; Brassicaceae
Description: long non-coding RNA (BRAP_LNC007534)
Source: RNAcentral
GGUGAUUUACAUAACACUGACUUUUCUGGCUUUUGUCUCCGGAAGGUGAUGGUUUCCUCACCAUCGUUCUCGCCGGCUCUCUGUCGGGGUUCUCCCGAUAUCAUGAUCUAUGAUUUUGGACCCUCUUGUUUUCCAGCCUCUCAAUUUGAUACUCCGAUGGUUUUUUCAUCUCCUAAUUGUUCGGUGUUGCAUCUUCGCGCUUAGAUAGAUUAUUAAAGAUGUAUGUAGCUGCAUACAAGUAAGUCGAAGGCUUGAAGAUCGAUUGUAGGCGGUUAAUCUCUUCGACGAUUCGUAGAUCCACCACAUCUGACUUCGCGACUCUAACUUUGCGUAGUCUAUUAUGGUUGAACGGCUUGUCUCGGUUUCAUCUUCCUUGUCGACGGUGAUCCGUUGUGUCUCCUUGCUGGCUCCGGAAGAAGAUGGCAGGCUUUCGUCAGUACUCAGUACACAUGCAUAAUGGUCACUGCAACCAGACACGUGAUGGGAUGAGUCAGAUUAUUUCUUUUGGGCUUAUGGCCUAAUGUCGUCUAAUGCAGUACUCCAUUUGUUUUGAGCUUGUUAUAAAGUUUUGUUCGUUUGUUGGGUCUUUGUGUACUUUCCAGUCGGACUUGGUCUUGUUAGACUAUGUUCCAUGAAUAAAAUAUCAGA